RNAcentral lists this ribosomal RNA (404 nucleotides) under uncultured bacterium. Its description in RNAcentral is "bacterial SSU rRNA". It matches the Rfam family "Bacterial small subunit ribosomal RNA", at positions 32 to 423 of the family's 1533-position model. The record is from RNAcentral.
AAUCAACGCUGGCGGCGUGCCUCAGACAUGCAAGUCGAACGAUUAAAGCUCUCUUCGGAGAGUGCAUAAAGUGGCGCACGGGUGAGUAACACGUAAGUAAUCUACCUUCGAGUGGGGAAUAACGUCCGGAACGGACGCUAAUACCGCAUAACGCAGCGGCAUCGCAAGAUGACAGUUGUUAAAGAUUUAUCGCUUGAAGAGGAGCUUGCGGCAGAUUAGCUUGUUGGUAAGGUAACGGCUUACCAAGGCUACGAUCUGUAUCCGGUCUAAGAGGACGGUCGGACACACUGACACUGAAUAACGGGUCAGACUCCUACGGGAGGCAGCAGUCGGGAAUUUUGGGCGAAUGGGGGGAAACCCGUACGACCCACGCAACGCCGCGUGAAGGAUGAAGUAUUUCGGUA